GAAGAAGGCCUUCGGGUUGUAAAGUACUUUCAGCAGUGAGGAAGGUGGUAGUGUUAAUAGCACUAUCAUUUGACGUUAGCUGCAGAAGAAGCACCGGCUAAUUCCGUGCCAGCAGCCGCGGUAAUACGGAGGGUGCGAGCGUUAAUCGGAAUUACUGGGCGUAAAGCGCAUGCAGGUGGUUUGUUAAGUCAGAUGUGAAAGCCCGGGGCUCAACCUUGGAAUUGCAUUUGAAACUGGCAGACUAGAGUACUGUAGAGGGGGGUAGAAUUUCAGGUGUAGCGGUGAAAUGCGUAGAGAUCUGAAGGAAUACCGGUGGCGAAGGCGGCCCCCUGGACAGAUACUGACACUCAGAUGCGAAAGCGUGGGGAGCAAACAGGAUUAGAUACCCUGGUAGUCCACGCCGUAAACGAUGUCUACUUGGAGGUUGUGGCCUUGAGCCGUGGCUUUCGGAGCUAACGCGUUAAGUAGACCGCCUGGGGAGUACGGUCGCAAGAUUAAAACUCAAAUGAAUUGACGGGGGCCCGCACAAGCGGUGGAGCAUGUGGUUUAAUUCGAUGCAACGCGAAGAACCUUACCUACUCUUGACAUCCACAGAAGUUUCCAGAGACAGUUUGGUGCCUUCGGGAACUGUGAGACAGGUGCUGCAUGGCUGUCGUCAGCUCGUGUUGUGAAAUGUUGGGUUAAGUCCCGCAACGAGCGCAACCCUUAUCCUUGUUUGCCAGCGAGUAAUGUCGGGAACUCCAGGGAGACUGCCGGUGAUAAACCGGAGGAAGGUGGGGACGACGUCAAGUCAUCAUGGCCCUUACGAGUAGGGCUACACACGUGCUACAAUGGCGCAUACAGAGGGCGGCCAACUUGCGAAAGUGAGCGAAUCCCAAAAAGUGCGUCGUAGUCCGGAUUGGAGUCUGCAACUCGACUCCAUGAAGUCGGAAUCGCUAGUAAUCGUAGAUCAGAAUGCUACGGUGAAUACGUUCCCGGGCCUUGUACACACCGCCCGUCACACCAUGGGAGUGGGCUGCAAAAGAAGUGGGUAGU
Molecule: ribosomal RNA, 1035 nt
Filed under: Vibrio tubiashii
Lineage: Bacteria; Pseudomonadati; Pseudomonadota; Gammaproteobacteria; Vibrionales; Vibrionaceae
Description: bacterial SSU rRNA
Rfam family: Bacterial small subunit ribosomal RNA
Source: RNAcentral